Long non-coding RNA from Trifolium pratense (red clover), 2305 nucleotides. RefSeq lists it as uncharacterized. The record is from RefSeq and is a predicted model, not a curated record. The transcript is spliced from 2 exons. NCBI's taxonomy places the organism in Eukaryota, Viridiplantae, Streptophyta, Magnoliopsida, Fabales, Fabaceae.
UCUAAAUUAUUUUAUUUGAGUAUGUGAAACUAAAUUUUCAUGAAAGUAAGAAGAGUAGAAUAUUAAUAGUAUGGUUAAGUGGAUUCUAGGAUAUGUUUGACAUAUAUGUUUUGUUCUAUAUGAUAUGUGCUAGAUUAUUGCUAGUUGACUUGUGCUUUUGGUUAUUUGUAAGUUAUAGUGAAUAACUAUGCUAUUUUCUAUAAGAUGAAUUUGAUAAAUGUGUUGCACAAGUUGACUAUUUUAUUUUGUCAUGUUAGUUAUCAUGUUAAGAUAGAUAUAUUCUAUGCUUAUGUGAAUAUGAAUUGUUGAAUUUUUAAAAUUCAUUGCUAUGAAAUAUUUAUCUUUUCUUGUAUUGAUUUGAUUCUCAAUUUUGAGAUUUAGAGAAGAUAUAUGUUUCUUGAAUGUCUAUGUGAAAUGCUAUGUUUUGCUUUUGUGCAAUUUUAUAUAGAUGUUCAUGUUUUGUAUUUCGUAGUUUACCCAUUGUAUGCGACAUGUGUGUAAACAUUGUCGAUACUAGUUUCUUUCGUGGGAGCUAGUUAGAGAACCGUAGAAGUCUCCAGUUAGGUAUGAGAGUUGAGAAUUACAAUAGGAGUUAUAAGUGGGUUUGAGAUAAGUGGGGGAGAAGGUUAAAUUCCUUUGAGAUGUUUAAGUGUAGAAGAAUAAGAUAGAUAGAGAUGUCCGAAGGAGAGCGUUCAUGUGUUGGUGUUGUCCAUUUCGGAGUUAGAUGAUUUGUAAGAACAGUUAGAAGACCGUUGGAGAAGAAGUUUGUCGGAUCGAUUGUUUUGCCAUGAAGAGCGUCAUUGUUGUUAAGUAAGAAGAGAGGAUGAAGUAUGAGAAAAUCGGUGGAGAUUAGUAAGAUCAAAUUCAUUAUGUUUGGAAUAAUGAAGAAAUGUGUAGAGUAAAGUGUAGUAUGUGAUGAGAAAAUAAAGGAUUUCGGAUAUUGUAAUCGUGAGUAGUUGAACAAUAUUUAAGUAAUACAACUUAAGAGAUGUUUGGAUAUUAGUAUCUCGACAAAAGAAGUGAUAUUGGAAACUGUGAUGAGAGAUGAACGUGAAGUAAUGAUUUGGAAACAAGGUAAUGGUGUUGUAGUUCGACUUAAGAAAUUGAGUUUGGUGUGAAAGGAAUAAUCGUAUUGUUAACGACGUAGUUUCGAUGUUUAUUAGUGGGAUUUAGAACUAGAUGUUGUGCUGAAAAACUUAAGACUGUGGUUUGGAUAAGAAUUGAACAUAUUCAGAUUAAAAGGAACUAAGAGACUAAAAGGAACUAAGAGACUAAAAGGAAAAAGAAGGAACUUGUGGAAACUUGUAAAGUUGUGAAAGUUAUCAACAUAGAUGAGAUAUUUUCGGAGUGAAAUGGAUUGAGUGGUACUUGUUGUGGAAUGUUACCUUUCGGAUGUUUUGUGCUUAUGAAAGCACUAUUGUAGUUUGGUAAAGAUGGUUUAUGCCAUCAUCAUUAUUAUUGGCUAUUUAUUGACAAAUUGAGGAAUUGGCCGUCCUUGAUCUCUUAUUAAUAAGUAGACGAAAAUUGUGUUGAUUGGAUAAGACUAAUUUUGUCAAACUUUAGUAGUGUAUAGAGUUUUGGAUAUUUUAUUGGAGAAUUGAAUGAAGGUGGUCUUAUGCGGUUUGUUUUAGUCGGACAAUUUUCGAGGGCGAAAAUUCUUUAAGUGGGGGAGAGUUGUAACAUCCCGAUUUUAUUAAUAGGUCAUUUAUUAAUUUAAUUGUGUGUAUUUUAUUAUGGAGGAUAUUAUAAUCAUAAUAGAUAUUAAAUAGUUGAGAGUUGUAGACUAAAUUAGAGUCAAUAUAAUUAAUGAGUAGAAAUUAAGUAAUUAGACUAAAAUGAGCAUUGAGCCUAAGAGGUGUUGGGGGGUGAGUUGAGUAAAGAGGGGGUGUAGGGAGUAACUAGUAAAAACCUAGUAUAAAAGGAAAGAAUUAGUAAGAGAAUUCAAUUUCUCUUGAAACAUAGAACAGGGAAAGAAGGAGGCUUUGGGAGAAAGAAAGAAAAGAGAAAGAAAGAAAGAAAAGAGAAGAAAAGUCUAGGAGAUUAGAAGAAGCUCAAGAGAGGGAUUAGAGAUUUCAACUUAUUAAGGUUCUCAGGUUGUAUGUUUGUUGGUGUUCGCGUUGUUGGUGAAAGCUCUGCUCUGAUUGUGACACGAGGAAGAGUUCAUAGAGUCUUUAUUUGUUGUUGUUUUAUUUAAAUUAAAUGUGUAUAUUGUAUAAAAGGAAUUUUGCACAAGUGAUAUUUACUACUCAAUGUUAUUAGUAGUGUUUUUUUUUUGUAAUGAAGAAUGUAACACCUUGAGCCAAUA